This 465-nucleotide ribosomal RNA is filed under the name Vreelandella stevensii. RNAcentral's name for it is "partial 16S ribosomal RNA". It matches the Rfam family "Bacterial small subunit ribosomal RNA", at positions 338 to 795 of the family's 1533-position model. Lineage: Bacteria; Pseudomonadati; Pseudomonadota; Gammaproteobacteria; Oceanospirillales; Halomonadaceae. The record is from RNAcentral.
CCUACGGGGGGCUGCAGUGGGGAAUAUUGGACAAUGGGGGGAACCCUGAUCCAGCCAUGCCGCGUGUGUGAAGAAGGACCUCGGGUUGUAAAGCACUUUCAGUGAGGAAGAACGCCUGGUGGUUAAUACCCAUCAGGAAAGACAUCACUCACAGAAGAAGCACCGGCUAACUCCGUGCCAGCAGCCGCGGUAAUACGGAGGGUGCGAGCGUUAAUCGGAAUUACUGGGCGUAAAGCGCGCGUAGGUGGCUUGAUAAGCCGGUUGUGAAAGCCCCGGGCUCAACCUGGGAACGGCAUCCGGAACUGUCAAGCUAGAGUGCAGGAGAGGAAGGUAGAAUUCCCGGUGUAGCGGUGAAAUGCGUAGAGAUCGGGAGGAAUACCAGUGGCGAAGGCGGCCUUCUGGACUGACACUGACACUGAGGUGCGAAAGCGUGGGUAGCAAACAGGAUUAGAUACCACUGUAGUC